GUAACGACUUUUCUGAUUAUGGAUAAUCGGAAGGAUUCCACUAACUAGUGGGAUAACACGCUAAGCUCCCGAAUGAUGAUUUCGGGAUGAUGGUAUAGUCUAACCCUCGUAGAAAUGCGAGA
RNAcentral lists this non-coding RNA (122 nucleotides) under Candidatus Amesbacteria bacterium GW2011_GWA2_42_12. Lineage: Bacteria; Candidatus Amesiibacteriota. The record is from RNAcentral.